Molecule: non-coding RNA, 24 nt
Filed under: Arabidopsis thaliana (thale cress)
Lineage: Eukaryota; Viridiplantae; Streptophyta; Magnoliopsida; Brassicales; Brassicaceae
Source: RNAcentral
AGAGAGGAAUGCUAAUGGAUCAUU